Molecule: ribosomal RNA, 1282 nt
Filed under: Cleroidea sp. 5 KM-2017
Lineage: Eukaryota; Metazoa; Arthropoda; Insecta; Coleoptera
Description: 16S ribosomal RNA
Rfam family: Archaeal large subunit ribosomal RNA (bases 589-1282)
Source: RNAcentral
AUUUAAUAUAUUAUUUAUUUUAUAGUUGAUUUUAAAUUGUUAAAAGUAGUUCAUUUUUUAUUAUUAAUUUAGAAGAAAUUUUAUUUAUUAUAGUGUAUUAGUACCGUGAGGGGAUUAUUUUAAAUAUUAAAAAGAAGGGUUAAAUUCCGUACCUUGUGCAUCAGGGUUGAUUAAAUAGAAGGUUGCAAUAAGCUUUUCUCGAAAUUAAAAGAGUUAAUUGAUUAUUUAUUUUAAUGUGAAAUAAUUAUUUAUAAUAUUCAAUUAGAUGUGAAAUGUUAUUCGUUUUUAAUUAUAUCUAGUUUCUUAAGAAAAAAGUUCAAUUUUAUAUUUAAUAUAAAAUAUUCUAUGUUUUUAGUUUAUUUUUAUUAAAUUGUUAUUUUUAAAGGGAUAAGCUUUUUAAAAAAGUACUAUAAUUAGUUAUCUUAAGAAUAAAUCAUAGGAUUAAAAUUUUUCAUUGAUAAUAUUAUGUUAUAGUUGAUUAUUCUAUAUAUUUUAUUUUUAUUUUAUUUAGGUUUUUUAUUAGGAUUUUGUAUUUAAUUUUAUUUUAUAAUUAAUAAUGAUUAAAUUAGUAUAGAUUUUUGUUUAUUUAAUUUUUUUUAGUAAGGUAAGUGUAAGGAACUCGGCAAAAAUACUUUUCACCUGUUUAUUAAAAACAUGUCCUUUUGAUUAUAAUUUAAGGUCUAACCUGCCCACUGAGUUUUAAAUGGCCGCGGUAUUAUGACCGUGCAAAGGUAGCAUAAUCAUUAGUUUUUUAAUUGGAAGCUGGAAUGAAUGGUUGGAUGAGAAAGUGACUGUCUCAUACUUAUUUUUAUAGAAAUUUAUCUUUAAGUUAAAAAGCUUAAAUAUUAUUAAAAGACGAGAAGACCCUAUAGAAUUUAUAUAUAUUUUAUUUUAUUUGUUAUUGGGUUUAAGUUACUUUUAAUUUGUAUUUAUAUUUUGUUGGGGUGACAGGAAAAUUGAUUUAACUUUUUCUUUAUUUUUUCACUAAUGAGUGUUUUAUUGAUCCGGAUAUUUCUGAUUAUAAGAAUAAAUUACCUUAGGGAUAACAGCGUAAUUUCCUUAGAGAGUUCUAAUCGAAAGGGAAGAUUGCGACCUCGAUGUUGGAUUAAAGUUAAUUUUCGGUGCAGAAGCUGAAAUAUUAGGUCUGUUCGACCUUUGAAACUUUACAUGAUCUGAGUUUAAACCGGCGUGAGCCAGGUUGGUUUCUAUCUUUAAUUGAUUAAAAUGUUUUAGUACGAAAGGACCAAGCAUUUGAUUAAUAAUUUGGUAUUUGAAUACUAUU